GUUCAGUCUUCCCAGGCCCACCACUUUCAUCGAGUGAGCAUUCGUCUUCUGGUUACGGGGCCAUAGCUCAGCUGGGAGAGCGCGUGCUUUGCAAGCAUGAGGUCGUCGGUUCGAUCCCGUCUGGCUCCACCAGAUGGUUUGAUCGCCGAGAUCUUGCACCGUCGUCCGCGAAACAUCACUUCGCAUCCUGCUAGUCUGGAUAGACAGCAAGAUGCGUGUUUUCUGACAUCGUAAAGAGGAGAUCGAUCCGAGUUGGGUCGUGCAGCAGAUUGUUGCGCGAAUCCUUCAUUAUCUCCGGAUCAUUUUCGGCGCUCGCUUUCAGCCGUGAGGUUGAAUGCGAGUUGUAAAAUGAUCCUUUUAGCGAAGCUUGACCGCCUCGCUAUCGGAACGAUCUUACGAAGCAAGCUGGUCUUUCUAGUCAAUGUCCGGCUGCAGAUAGCGUUCGUCGAGGGCGCGUGCCGCAAGGCAAUUCUGCAGACAACAUUCUGCCGAGUGUGUGGACAUUGAUAAUGAGAGCAAUCAAGUGCCUUAAGGGUGUUCGGUGGAUGCCUUGGCGCUGAGAGGCGAUGAAGGACGUGCUACGCUGCGAUAAGCCGUGGGGAGCUGCGAAGAAGCUUUGAUCCGCGGAUUUCCGAAUGGAAAAACCCGGGA
RNAcentral lists this unclassified non-coding RNA (651 nucleotides) under uncultured Bradyrhizobium sp. RNAcentral describes it as "partial 16S-23S ribosomal RNA intergenic spacer". The stretch from base 518 to 651 matches the Rfam family "Bacterial large subunit ribosomal RNA", at positions 1 to 133 of the family's 2925-position model. Lineage: Bacteria; Pseudomonadati; Pseudomonadota; Alphaproteobacteria; Hyphomicrobiales; Nitrobacteraceae. The record is from RNAcentral.